CACGGUCCCGCCUUAGAGAAGCGGCGGCAGGAGGCACCGGGUGGGCUGUGCCGAGCCCCGGGCGGGGGCAGAGGAGCGGAGCGCCCAGCAGCGGCCGCGGCCCCGGCCCGGCUGGAGCGGAGCGGAGCGGAGGGCCAGCAGCCCGCGGGCAGGGUCGCGCUCCCCGAUGACAGCGGCAGCCCUCGGGCCGCCGCCUCCACACAACUGCGAACCCCGCGCAGGCGCCGUUGCGUGGCGACGGCUGAGCCCGCGCAUGCGCGACUCCGGCCGGGUCGGGUGCGUUAUGGAGGCGCUUAAAUAUGAAGCGGGACGGCGGCGUACGCGCCUUCGGGAGAUCUUAGAAGAAAGGCAGGAUUUAAUUUACAAGAUGGCAAUAUAGAGUAAUCACAAUCCAUCUCUACGCACUUUCCAGGAGGAGGUAUUUCUGCUGAAGUCCUUUUUCAAGUGGACACAUGCUCAGUCACAAAAACUUUUGGUUUUUACAGGUGGAGAGCUGGAGCUGUGAUGGUGCUUCUGGUGUGCCACAUCUGGAGGCCUGUACAGUCGAUUUCAGUUUGUGGCCAUUACUUCUCAGCCUGUCACUGGAUGCCAAAAGGCUGCUGUUCUUCUUUACUCCUCCCUUCCUCCCUAAUCAAUAAGAUUCUCCCCGGAGCCUUCCCAAAUGAAAUUCAUUACAAAAAGCUCUUUACUACCUUGAAGCCUCUCCUGUUCUCAUACCAAGAAGCAACAGACAAACGGUUUCAUUGCUUGUGACUCAUUUUUCUUUCCAGUCUAUUGAUCGUCCUGAAAAAUGCUGAAUGUCCAGAAUCCAACCGCAUGAAGAUUUUACAUACCAGUUCAAUGUGAAGUGUAUCAGUGAUUUCAGUGAUGUUAGUAAAAUUAUUUGAGCUAUGGUGCUUUGUUGGGUCAGAGCUGUGGCUGGGUGUGGUUGGGUUUGGUGCAUCCUCAUAGUUGAUGUAACACAUCGGAUAUUCUGAGUCUACAGUGCUUGUAUCAUACCCCUGCCCAGAGGUGUUAACGAGCACAGAUAAUUUGUGGGAAACAUUCUGCUGGAGAGGUAUGGGGACCUUACUCAUUCCAGCGACGGACCACCUUAGCAAAUUACAGAGUAGGCAGAAAGUUAAUGAUGUAUUUAUUAUUUGGUUUGUUGGCUGCUGAAAUGCAUGGUGUUUGUGCUUAGAGUUUGUGUCAGCUGUUUUUCACAUGAUGAUAAACUUGAAUUUGGAACAGGCUUAGACAUAAUUUUCAGUUGCUAUUGAGGGAGAGAACCGUAUUAGUUCCCAGCAAAGUGCCCUGAAAGCUUCAGCUGGUAAAUGGUUUUUCUAUGAGCCUCACAUACUGAUUACUAGUUUUCUUUUUAAAGUUCAGACUAGCUUAAAUUUCUUGAAGGGCUGAGACUUUCUAAAAUUAUUUUGCACACUUAACGUUUAAAAUCAAACCAGCAUCAGACAAAAAGAAACUGAUCCCAAAUCAAAACACAAAUUCAAGUUAUUUGCUUGGGUAUUGCAUAGUCUACGAUCAGGCUGCUAAGCAGCCAGAUUUCAUCAGCUUAUGUGUUGUCAUAGAGUUUACUGCUGCUUCUUAUGUCGUUUGCCUUUAUUGGGAGUUUACAGUACUGUUGCUCCUAAGCAGAGCUCUCAUUCUCAAUUAUGUGAAGAACAGGUGCAAUUUAUUGUUUGAAUAAAUUUGGUAUCUUUGAAACGCCAUUUUGGUUUUACAGCCCAGGUAUUCACUACUAUACAUAACUGUAAAGGGUGUUCACCUGGAGAGGAGGCGGAACAUUAUUUCAGUAUGUUUUUGCCAAGUGUGCUUUGGUGUAUGUGUGAAGAGUGAUUUGUCAAAGUUGCAAUGCCUAUCUUCAUGCAUUUGAGGAGAUGAGGACUGAGUAGGUGGACUUCUGUAGCUGGUUAUUUCCUAGGUACACCUGGAAUGUGGUGGUUCUUCUCUACUUCCAGGUCUUGAACAGUGCUGUAGGAAACAGGAGUCCAAAAAAUACAAAAAUGUGGCUGCAUGUCAGAUUGUGGCAAGCUGAAUGAAUCUAAUUAUAGGCAUAUCACUGCAGCUGUAAACAGAAAACACUGAGAAUAGAACAACUCCACUUGACACUCAAGUGUUUUAAUGCAGCUGGUGUCACUUGGUGACCAACCAGUGUCCACUGGGGUCCACUCACUCUGUCUGAGGCUAUGUCAUUAUUUUGGCAGUAGCUGAGAAAUUGCCACUCCCUACUGCUUGCUGCUUUCCUCGUGCUGCCUUCUGCAUUGGCCUGACAAAAGCAUGGUGGAAAACUGAUUCGGCUGAGAUACUAAUUCCUUUCUGCUGGAGCAUUUCCACAAUCCUGGUUCAGCAUGUAGCAGCACAGGCUCCUGUACUGGUCCACAGCAGAGAAGUCAUAAACUGAUGGCAGGAGGGGUAUUAGCAUGAGGACAGAUACUUUGGCACUGCCACCCAGAGGUUAGUCACUGACCAGUGCUUCUGGGGGACUAUCUCAGCAGCUCAGAAGGUGCACAGAUGAGAUGAAGAAGAAAUGGUUGGGGAAGUGGAGAAGUUCCAAAAAGUUCUUUCCUCAUGAUCUGUCUUUAGAAAUCAAAAUUUCCUUGUCUAAAUCUGGCCAAUCUUCAGUGGUGGCAUCAUGCCUCACAAUGAGACUUUGCCUAAGAAAGUUGUUCUCAUCUUUGUCUUUGUGCUUGCAGAUGUUGAAUACAUUUUGCAGUUCUUUUGUUCAUUGCAUGUAGUCAAAUGAAGACUACAGUUAAAGCUAAGAUUAGGCCAGACUCAGGCAAAUGGCUCAUUGCAUUGGGCAGGAGGUCUAACUGAAUACAAUCAGGCCUGCAACUUGAAAGGUUAGGAUCACUGGAGAUAUUUCCCAAUUUAUUUUGUAUGUAAGAAAAAGCUGCUGACAAUAGGAUUUUAUCCAAAUUUAUCUGGCCAGUCUUAGGGUAGUACAUUAGACACAGCUCUGCUGUUACCAAGAGGUGCUGUGUGUGGGCAGAUCUGAUGUGCCCAAUGAGCUAUGAAGACCCGUGCAUCCAUGCUGUGCAUUCUCUGUCUUCCAGGCAUCAGAAGCCUCCCCUGACUAUCAUGGCCACUCUGAGAUCAUCAGGAGUGGGCCCACAGUGACACUGGACAUGGACUUGCAAGUGAAGGAAUUGAAUAGACUUCUUUUUACCUCCUCACCCCCUACCCCGUUGUAACUGCUCUCAGCUCCUGUUGCACCACAUGCCAACACUGAAUUGCUGUUCUGCUGCUGCUCCACCAGCCAAGAACUUUUCCCUCUCACUGACAAGGCAGCAGCACAGAGCACGUUAGGAACAAAGCUGAAAAGAGGUCAUGUCCCAGUCGAUCACAGUGAGAACACAAAGUGAAGGCCAAGAUGUUCUGCACCUGCUUUCUCUGUGGAGAGAUGCUAGAAAGUACCAAAAGCUGAACUUCCCUUUGACCGCUCUGGUGCGGGCUGGAGAAAUUUCUUAACGUCUUUUCCCUUUGUGGGCUACCAAUCGGUCAGCUCCCCAUGGGAUCAAAACCUGUGGGAUUUGCCAGUGUUUCAUGGCUACGAGAAGCUCACCCACUGCCUUCUGCCUGGACCACAAGAAGUAUUGCUGUAACAUACAGAGGAUCCUGGGAACUGAUGUUUAGCCAUACCUCAACUCUAGUCCACACCAGACCUUAACACAGUUGUGCUUCAAGCCUAGCCAGUGCCAGAAGAAAAGGACACAGAUGCAUGCUGGCCAUUUGCCUUGCCUCCAGGACAGGCUGAAGAUGCGGCUGUGAACUGAGCUGAAGUGAGCAGAGGAGAGCUUUUGCUCAGACUUAGGGCUUUGCUUCUCUUUCACCUUCGAAGUCGUCAGCAUAACUGAUUUUCACACAGACUGAGGACAGAGAGAGUCUUAACUGCCUGCCUAGGGAGAAAGCCCGAAUCAGUCUUGGAAGAAUAUGACUUUCCUCACCCAUAGCAGCUAGGUCCAAAGAACCUAAAUUUUUUAACAAACACAGCAGUUCUCCUAAAACAUCAUGACAGUUCUAGCAGUCGUCACGAUUUUGCAGCAACCAGACAGGUUCUCUUCUGUGCUAGAGGCAUGCGGAAGGAAUAAGAGGGUACAGCAACGUGAACAGGGAGGGGAGAAGCAAAGCCAGCAGGGGGAACAGAAGGAAACAAAGACACGUACUGGAUUACAAAGUUUGUUAAAUACCAAGUUGGAACAAAAUACUUGAAAUUAAAUGCAGGGUGCUAGCAGCACAAAACUGUUGUCUUCCUGCCCAAGUGGUGCCUGUGGAUCCUCUUCCUCGCUGCCUGGCAACUCCGGGCCCCGAGUUAGUGGGUGGAAGGGAAACGCUUCAUCUCAGCAUAACUCCUCUGUGUUUUCUGGAACUGGGACUUCUCUGCUCCAGCAUUUUCUGAUUGGUAAUGAUGUCGGCUCCUCUGCUGUGAAAAUAGGGAAAAGCAGUUGACUCAUUCUACAAUACCACCUUCUAAACACGAACAUAGCUCUGAUACAUGGCUGCUUUAGCAACAGAUCUCAGUAAUGACUGGAGAAGUAGAUAAAAGGUGACACGCUACUGAACAGCCAGAGCAACCUCAAAAACCCUUCUGGGAACUCUACUCCUGGGUCCCCAUGACAAGGGAAAGAAACACUGAGACAACUACCAGCGAGCAAUAAGUUACAGAACUUUUUCCUGCGUCACCUGAGCGCAUCGUGUCCUGGGAAUCAACGACACUGUUUAGAAAAGCAAAACCUGAACUGCUUCUUGCUCAGCUGGUGCCUGAGACAGGGCUCAAGGGGUGAUCUUGGGCAAAGCCAACUUAAUAGGGUUGUUCUGAGAUAUGGCCGUGUUACUUCCUUCUCUUCCUGAGGAGGAGUUCAUCUGUCAGACCGAGGAGAUGCUGCCACAGCCUCGAGCUGCAGCCCAGCCUGUGCUGGGCCUCCCUGCUCUCAGCCCUGACCCUCACCCAUGGACGUAAUGUCCUGGUUGGAUUGCAGACCUGCGCGUCCCCAUGGACUGGCCUGGUGAUUUGCACUCUUGGUUGGGCCCGCUUACUGUCACUGGACCUGUUCUGCUCUUCUUGCUGAGGGCCUGUGGGACUGUUCCCUGGCCCGUGAGGUCAUGGACCCUGCCAGCCUUGCUACAGCUCUCGGAUCGCCCUUGCAGAUGUGCCUUUGCAGAUACCACUCUGCACAUUCAUUGUUCCCCAUGAAGACAACUACAACAGCGUUUAUGAUCAUCUACUAUUACUGCAACAACAGAAGGAACAUCAGGAAGAGAACAGGUGAUUGACUAUACCAAAAACAGAUAGGAAAAAGGUUAUACAGGUCUCAGAAGAAAGAAGAAACCUGGACAACCAAAAGAAAAUCCCCAAGAGAAGCCCAAACAAACUAGGGCUCACCUUUGUUCUCAAUCUGCCAGUUUCAUUGACUAGUUCAGAGCAGCUGUUCUUCAUUUCUCCCUGUAAACUGAGCUGGGACUCCAUCUCUCUCUUCUCAUACACGCUUAAUUCCUUCGUAGCUCUGCUCAGAAGCCUGCUUAACCUACACAGCAAAUUAAUCAAGGAAACAAUGAAGCAAGGAACAACCGGCCUUUUUCACAUACUCUCACGUAAACAGUGCAGACAUGGCUCGCUUCAUCUUCAGCAUGCUUGGUGCAGCAGGAAUUGCUGAGAAAAGCCAGCAUUCCCAUGCCACAGGUGUCUUGGUAUGGUCCAGAUUUUGCCUAAAAGGAGUAAUAAAGUACCUCCUUCCCCUAGAACUGCAGGGCAACCUGUACUUGCAGUUUGUUUGGCAGGUAUUGAAAACUAUAGGCUCAUGCACAGAAGUGCCUUGCAAGAACUAACAGGAGGCUUGAAUUUGCUCACAAACGGCUACGUAUGCCUGUUUUUAUGUUGAAGUCCAAUAAGGCUUGGCUUCUACUCAGGGAUACCUCUUCACCGUACUAAAAAGUCGUACCUCUCACAGUCUUUCUGCAGUUCGAAGUUUAUUCUCAGUUCUUCGCACAGAUGCAAUUCGUCUAUGCAUAUCCCCUCUACCAGCUUCCUCACUUGCUGUCCUUUACCGUCAUGCUUUCAAGAUAGAAAAGGUACAUGACACACAGAGCGUAGGAACAAUAUUGACGUGCAGUACGUGCAGCUAGCGUUCUCCACAGAGAAGCUGCAGUACUUCUCUAUCUGUUGCCUCCUGCAUGACCCCCAAAUGAUGAGUUACUCAUGGCAGGAAUGGCAGGAAUAACAGAGCAAGCCGAGCGUUUACAAACUCGACAAAAAGGUGAACAUGGUUCUCCUGGGUAUUGGCUAGGUGUCUGGAGAGUUUUCUGGGCUCACCUGUUCCAAGAGUUCAGCCUUUGCCCUGCCACUCUGACCAACACGCUCUUCAAGGUGGGAUCCUGACUUCAAUUGCUCUUCCCAUGUGCUGUGCAAUUCCUUUGAUGUCAGAGCCAGCAUGUUCUGCUUUUGCACCUGUGAAAGCAACAGUGGCAAGAGGGAAAACUAAGGUGACCAGGAAGACAAGACUGCAAUAGAAAGCAGUAACUUAAAUGGACAUGGGGAUAAGCUCUCCUCUCCCCAUCCAAGACCUAUGGUUAAGGUUAAUGCGGAGUGUAAAACACACCUCAGGAAGCAUAACCAAGAACAGCAAUUGAAGCUGGUGGAAAGAAUGAAUGCUCUAGAAGUGACAGCUGUAUGUCUUCUGAGAGGAAGAAAAUGCUCUGCCCGCUACUGUACAGCGUCACCUCACCUAAUUAUUCUUUACCUCAGCCCCCUGCAUGGCGGAUGGAACCAGCACCCAUUCACAGGUGGGAAAGGAGGCUAACGUGGUCUCAAGGGCAAGCUGUGACAAAGCUGCUAAGGUAACAUGGAUGUCCCAAGUCCCGUCUCCUCUCUCAGCUUUCAAACACAGGUCUCCCUCCUGCCCACAACAUCCAUCCGAUACACCGUCUGUCGUGGUUUAACCCUGCUAGGCAGCUAAACACCACACAGACACUCGCUCACCUCCCCCCCGCCGGCCUGAUGGGGGUGAGCAUUGGCAGGGUAAGAGUGUGACAACUUGUGGGUUGAGAUAAAGACAUAGGUUUCAUAGGUAAAGCUAAAGCUGCAUGCGCGAGCAAAGCAAAAUAAGGAAUUUGUGCAAUACUUCCCAUCGGCAGGCAGUCUUUCAGCCACUUCCUGGAAAACAGGGCUUCAUCACAUGUAAUGGUUACUUGGAAAGACAAAUGCCCUAUCUCCAAACGUCCCUGAUUCUUACGGCUCCAUCUUUUAUUGGUGAGCAUGACGUCACAUGGGAUCGUCUUUUGGAGUCAGCUGUCCUGGCUGUGCCCCCCUGCUCCAGCUUCCUGUGCACCCCCAGCCUACUUGCUGGAGGGGCAGUAUGAGAAAUGGAAAAGGCCUUGACACUGUGCAAGCGCUGUUCAGCAAUAACUAAAUCAUCCCAGUGUUGUUCUCAUCACAAAGUCAGAACAUAGCACCAGACAAGCUACUAUGAAGAAAAUGAACUAGUACCAAAUCCUUGCCUUUUACAGCAUUAAGUAGGACUUGCUCUAGUAGCAUGGGAAAACUCUCAAAACCAGAAAGGUGGGGAAUGGACCAGGCCGUUUUCUGAGCAGCCUUUAUUCAGAAGAACGCAGGAACUGAGGUCCCCGUGGCUCUCCAGGAAAACCUCAUCUUAACAUUUUCCCGCAGAAACAGUGAACUAGGCUCAGGAAAUCACAAGAAAGGAAGUUUAUGAGCAGCUUACUGAGGC
Phalacrocorax carbo (great cormorant) is the source of this 7721-nucleotide non-coding RNA. The record is from RefSeq and is a predicted model, not a curated record. NCBI's taxonomy places the organism in Eukaryota, Metazoa, Chordata, Aves, Suliformes, Phalacrocoracidae.